RNAcentral lists this transfer RNA (83 nucleotides) under Canis lupus familiaris (dog). It matches the Rfam family "tRNA". From Rfam's summary of the family: Transfer RNA (tRNA) molecules are approximately 80 nucleotides in length. Their secondary structure includes four short double-helical elements and three loops (D, anti-codon, and T loops). RNAcentral also lists the same sequence under 1 other name. The record is from Rfam by way of RNAcentral. Lineage: Eukaryota; Metazoa; Chordata; Mammalia; Carnivora; Canidae.
GCCUGGGUGGCUCAGUGGUUGAGCAUCUGCCUUUGGCUCAGGUUGUGAUCCUGGGGUCCUGGGAUCAAGUCCCGCCUCAGGCU